GCAGUGGAGACAUUGUCCUUCAGUUAGGCUGGCCCCAGAACAGGUGCUGCAUGGCUGUCGUCAGCUCGUGUCGUGAGAUGUUGGGUUAAGUCCCGCAACGAGCGCAACCCUCGCCCUUAGUUGCCAGCAUUUAGUUGGGCACUCUAAGGGGACUGCCGGUGAUAAGCCGAGAGGAAGGUGGGGAUGACGUCAAGUCCUCAUGGCCCUUACGGGCUGGGCUACACACGUGCUACAAUGGUGGUGACAGUGGGCAGCGAGACAGCGAUGUCGAGCUAAUCUCCAAAAGCCAUCUCAGUUCGGAUUGCACUCUGCAACUCGAGUGCAUGAAGUUGGAAUCGCUAGUAAUCGCAGAUCAG
This 356-nucleotide ribosomal RNA is filed under the name Ensifer meliloti. RNAcentral's name for it is "Sinorhizobium meliloti bacterial SSU rRNA". It matches the Rfam family "Bacterial small subunit ribosomal RNA", at positions 997 to 1352 of the family's 1533-position model. The record is from RNAcentral. Lineage: Bacteria; Pseudomonadati; Pseudomonadota; Alphaproteobacteria; Hyphomicrobiales; Rhizobiaceae.